This is an RNA transcript of Bubalus bubalis (water buffalo), 4845 nucleotides long. It is a transcript of the gene named sorting nexin 33, with no coding region annotated. Lineage: Eukaryota; Metazoa; Chordata; Mammalia; Artiodactyla; Bovidae. The transcript has 4 exons. The record is from RefSeq and is a predicted model, not a curated record.
GAGUCACUUGACUUUUCUUCUAGGAGUGGGAGGAGGAGAGACUGUCCCCUGCAGGGGCUGCGGAAGGAAGGGAGGAAGACCAGGGACAUGAGCCGUCCCGGCUCACAGGCAUGUGCGGGCAGACCUGGUAGGGCCGAUUCUGGGCCGUGGACAUUGCUUUGAAGAGAGGGAGGCUGGAUACCUUCUGUGGGUGCUCAGACCCCACAGUAAGGGCUGAGAGACUGAGGGCUGUGGCCAGCCUUGAGUUGCUCGUGCAUCCUCGGACACCCUAACAAGUGUCCUCAGUUCUGGGCGGGACUCUCCUCAUCGUCUCUACCACUGGCCCAGACAUGGCACUCAAAGGGCGAGCCCUCUAUGACUUCCGCAGCGAGAACAAGGAGGAGAUCAGCAUCUGGCAGGACGAGGACCUGGUCAUCUUCAGUGAGACCUCGCUGGAUGGCUGGCUGCAGGGCCAGAACAGCCGUGGGGAGACUGGGCUCUUCCCUGCCUCUUACGUGGAGAUCCUCCGUUCUGACACCGGCUCCAACCAUGCCAACUACCCCGGCAGCCCCGCAGGCUCUCUGGGCACCCAGGUGAGCUUGUAUGACAGCUCCAGCACUUCCAGAAGUGGCGGCGGCAGUGGCUUUCUGUCAAACCAGGGUAGUUUCGAGGAGGACGAUGACGAUGACUGGGAUGACUGGGAUGACGGAUGCACGGUGGUGGAGGAGCCACGGGCCGGUGGGCUGGGCACCAAUGGGCACCCUCCGCUCAACCUCUCCUACCCUGGUGCCUACCCCAGCCAACACAUGGCCUUCCGGCCCAAGCCACCCCUGGAGCGGCAGGACAGCCUGGCAUCUGCCAAGAGAGGCAGCGUGGUGGGGCGCAACCUCAACCGCUUCUCGUGCUUCGUGCGUUCUGGCGUGGAGGCCUUCAUCCUGGGUGACGUGCCCAUGAUGGCCAAGAUCGCUGAGACAUACUCCAUUGAAAUGGGCCCCCACGGCCCCCAGUGGAAGGCCAACCCCCAUCCAUUUUCAUGCUCCGUGGAGGACCCAACCAAACAGACCAAAUUCAAGGGCAUCAAAAGCUACAUCUCCUACAAGCUCACACCCACCCACGCCAGCUCACCUGUCUACCGGCGCUACAAACACUUCGAUUGGCUCUACAACCGCCUGCUGCACAAAUUCACUGUCAUUUCGGUGCCCCACCUCCCAGAGAAGCAGGCCACAGGUCGCUUUGAGGAGGACUUUAUUGAGAAGCGGAAGCGGCGGCUCAUCCUCUGGAUGGACCACAUGACCAGCCACCCUGUGCUGUCCCAGUAUGAGGGUUUCCAGCAUUUCCUCAGCUGCCUGGAUGACAAGCAGUGGAAGAUGGGCAAACGCCGGGCUGAGAAGGAUGAGAUGGUGGGCGCCAGCUUCCUGCUCACCUUCCAGAUCCCCACAGAGCACCAGGACCUGCAGGACGUGGAGGACCGCGUGGACACCUUCAAAGCCUUCAGCAAGAAGAUGGACGACAGUGUCCUGCAGCUCAGCACGGUGGCUUCAGAGCUGGUGCGCAAGCAUGUGGGGGGCUUCCGCAAGGAAUUCCAGAAGCUGGGCAAUGCCUUCCAGGCCAUCAGCCAUGCCUUCCAGAUGGACCCCCCCUUCAGCUCCGAGGCCCUCAACAGCGCCAUCUCUCACACGGGCCGAACCUAUGAAAUGGUUGGUGAAAUGUUCGCUGAGCAGCCCAAGAAUGACCUCUUCCGGAUGCUUGACACACUGUCUCUCUACCAGGGACUGCUCUCCAACUUCCCCGACAUCAUUCACCUGCAGAAAGCAGACGGAGACUCAGAGGCAACGAGUCACCUGUGUGAGACGGCGCAGCUGCUUGGUGGCAGGCAGGACUGACUUCUGCGUGGACACAGCCGUGCCCUUCCCACGGCACCAGGAGCGUCUCUCAGCCUCCUCCCAGAGCUCUGUCUGCUCCAGGGCCUGUCUCCUCCUCGCUCAAGCUCUGCAUCAUCUUCCUCCCUCUUAAUACUCCUACUUAACCUCAGGUAAGUCCUCUGACUCAAUGGGGAGGCGGGAGGUCAGAGUGGGGCUGCUGGCUUCUCCUACCCAGAACCUGGCCCCUUGCUGCACACCUCACUCUCCCUGCCCCAGCCCAGCAAAGCACAUGCUCCCACGUCCAUCUUCUUCAGGGGGGGAUGCAUGCAUCUGGCCUUCCAGGAAGACUGAACAUUUGUUCAGCACCUACUGUGCACCAGGCACUGUGACAGCUGUCAUAGAUUACAAAGAUCACAGCAACACCAACCUGGAAGCGCCUACAACAUGCCAGAUCCACGCCAGGCGGUUCAACAACUGCUGUUACAACAGCGACUCAUCACGGCGUCGACAUUCACUGACUGUUUACACACGUACUGAGUGUUCACUGCGUGUCCGGGGCUCUUCUAAGAGCUUUGCAACAGCCAUGACCCUUUGAAACAAAGCCUUGGUCAGUUGCUCUGCCAGGUCCUAACUCAGGCAGAGGAGCGGGAGCUGGCCGGGGCCUCUGGCUGCACACGUUGCACAGAUGCUGGAAGGGAUAAGAGAUGGGGCAGAAAUGAAGGAGUGGGGCUCUAGGCAGAGAGCGGGCGGCCUGCUCCUCCCAGCUGGCUCUGUCCUCUCCGGUGUCAAUGAUCCCAUCACGAGUUACAACAGGUGGGUGGACUUGUACAAGUUCACUGGGCGGGCACAGUCACCACCUCUGCCCUCCCUCCUUCAGUUCGUGGAUUCUGCCCCCAGACUCUGAGGUCCUCAGGGCAGACCGUGGGGCAGAAGGGCGAAGGUCCUGAGGCCUGGAACCUUCUCGGAGUCCUCAGACCUUGCCCCAGCCAUCUUUGCAGGUGACAUGCUCACAAGGCAACCUUUUAGCCGGGUUGACUCAGAAGGGGCCUUUCCGGCCUGAGUCACCGCCUUCCAGGAGUGCCCAGGCUCUGCCAGCCUCGCCCACCUGUCUGCUUGCUCAACAGCCCUUUACAACAGGCUCCACCUUCCUCAACAAGACCCAACAGGGUUCCCCCUGCCGCUUUCUGGUUCUUGGCGGUCUCUGCCCUGGUCAGCAUGGCUGGCAGCCCUGGCCCACCUGCGUUUGCUCUGCUGCCUUUGUGGGAACCAGGAAUCCCACUGCUGGGAGAGGCAUCCUUGGCAUCUGGAGGGGUUUGGAGACUCGAGGAGGCCCAGCUCUGCCAGCGGAUUGCUGUGUGACUGUGGCAAGGCACUCCUGUAAGGGUCAGAGGCUCCCGGACAUUCCUGAGUGCUUGUACGCAGGCUGGCUACUAUUCUCAGUGCCUGGGAGGACUCAGCUACUUAAAUGAAGGAAUGGUGAGUUAUUUUGUAAAGUGGGUAGCAACCUCCUUAAGUUGGGGGUGCUUAUCUGAAAUCUGCAAGGGAUUUACCUAAUAAACUGAGGCCCCACAUUUAGAAUGGACUCUGAGGAUGGUAUGCCAGUCAAAGACCCUCUCCCAGGUCCUGGCAGAGCCGCUGGCACAAUGCCUGGGUGCAAGCCCACUGUCCAGCCCAGGCUUGAAGGAGCAAGAGCAGUAUCGGCCUGUGCCAGCUCGCUGGGGGCAGGGCAGGCUGGGCCACGUGAACAGAGAGGGCGUCGUCAGGCCUCUUGGGGGAACCUGAGCCGAGCCAGAUCCUGCCUGGCGGGUCCGUCACCUUCAUCUCAGCUUACACUCCCAGGGAAACUGGCUGCUCUGGGUGGAGGCUGGCCCCAGAUAUCAGGGCCCCGAGGAUGCAGCCUUGAACUCCAGAGAGAGGCAGACCAAAGAGUGGGGCGUGGCAUGGAGACGCCCUUGGCAGGGCCCCUGGGUGAGGCUGGCGUGGGGUGGAUUGGAGAGGCCAGGCUUGAAAAGGAAGCUGGAGCCAGGACUUUGAGCUCCGGGUACAGAGGGAUCUCUGCAGAGCUGCUACUUAUAGGUCCUGGCUACCUUCCAUGAAGGGGAGGCUUUCAAUGUGGCAAGAGGAGCUGGCUGUGCUCAGGGUUCUGGUCUACCCAAUGCAGGAGACAUGAGACACAGGUUCGAACUCUGGGUUGGAAAGAUCCCCUGGAGUAGGAAAUGGCAACCCACUCCAGAAUUCUUGCCUGAAGAAUCCCCAUGGACAGAGGAGCCUGGUGGGCUACAGUCCAUAAGGUCGCGAAGAGUCAGAAUGAAGUGACUUAACACGCACGCAUGGCUGCCUGCUGUGCAAGACUCUAGACAAGCCUCUUGCCCUCUUAGUCCCCCCGGAUCCUCUGGGGGCCCUUCCUGCAGUGACCUACCAGGAUUCCAGGUUUCCUUCCCAAAACUUCUGAGAGUAGGGGAAGCCCUAGGAGGGUGGAUGUUGAGAUGUGAAGGGCAUCGUGGGGAGGGGUGGUCCAGGGACAGCAGCGUGGGGGGGAGGGAAUCUCCCCUCUUGUCCUAAUUCCUGGUUCAGAUGCUACAGAUGUGGAGAAUGGCAGAGAGGUGAUGCUGCUGAGCUGCCAGAGGCUGGCUGGGGCCCUCCACCCCCAGUGCAGCUGUGCUCAGGUCCCAGACGCCCCUCCCUUCAUCCUGCCCCUUCCCCGCCCUCCCACAUCCCCCCAGAGCUCAGACCACAUUCCUGCUGCUUUUCUCCUGAGGACUUCAACCUGCUCCCAGGGCCUGGGCUCUUCUCUGGGACCUUGAAUCUGUCUCCAUUGCCCACGACCCUGGGAGACCCUCUGAAGGGAAAGGACCAGAGAGUGGUGGCUCCUCGGCAACUCGUGAAAGACCGUCUGAGGAUGCUUUGUCUCAGAUCUAUCUCUGACUACAGGGACAGACGACUUGUUGGAACACUUGCUGCUUGCUCUGCCUUUGAAAAGAAGCACUCUUGGUCCUCUCGUUGG